AUUGAACGCUGGCGGCAGGCCUAACAUAUGCAAGUCGAACGGCAGCACAGAAGAGCUUGCUCUUUGGGUGGCGAGUGGCGGACGGGUGAGUAAUGUCUGGGAAACUGCCCGAUGGAGGGGGAUAACUACUGGAAACGGUAGCUAAUACCGCAUAACGUCGCAAGACCAAAGUGGGGGACCUUCGGGCCUCACACCAUCGGAUGUGCCCAGAUGGGAUUAGCUAGUAGGUGGGGUAAUGGCUCACCUAGGCGACGAUCCCUAGCUGGUCUGAGAGGAUGACCAGCCACACUGGAACUGAGACACGGUCCAGACUCCUACGGGAGGCAGCAGUGGGGAAUAUUGCACAAUGGGCGCAAGCCUGAUGCAGCCAUGCCGCGUGUAUGAAGAAGGCCUUCGGGUUGUAAAGUACUCUCAGCGGGGAGGAAAGCGGUGAGGUUAAUAACCUUGCCGAUUGACGUUACCCGCAGAAGAAGCACCGGCUAACUCCGUGCCAGCAGCCGCCGUAA
This 506-nucleotide ribosomal RNA is filed under the name uncultured bacterium. RNAcentral's name for it is "partial 16S ribosomal RNA". It matches the Rfam family "Bacterial small subunit ribosomal RNA", at positions 30 to 523 of the family's 1533-position model. The record is from RNAcentral.